This 492-nucleotide ribosomal RNA is filed under the name uncultured bacterium. Its description in RNAcentral is "partial 16S ribosomal RNA". It matches the Rfam family "Bacterial small subunit ribosomal RNA", at positions 29 to 507 of the family's 1533-position model. The record is from RNAcentral.
AGUGAACGCUGGCGGUAGGCCUAACACAUGCAAGUCGAACGGCAGCACAGUAAGAGCUUGCUCUUACGGGUGGCGAGUGGCGGACGGGUGAGGAAUACAUCGGAAUCUACUUUUUCGUGGGGGAUAACGUAGGGAAACUUACGCUAAUACCGCAUACGACCUACGGGUGAAAGCAGGGGAUCUUCGGACCUUGCGCGAUUGAAUGAGCCGAUGUCGGAUUAGCUAGUUGGCGGGGUAAAGGCCCACCAAGGCGACGAUCCGCAGCUGGUCUGAGAGGAUGAUCAGCCACACUGGAACUGAGACACGGUCCAGACUCCUACGGGAGGCAGCAGUGGGGAAUAUUGGACAAUGGGCGCAAGCCUGAUCCAGCCAUACCGCGUGAGUGAAGAAGGCCUUCGGGUUGUAAAGCCCUUUUGUUGGGAAAGAAAAGCAGCAGGUUAAUACCCCGCUGUUCUGACGGUACCCAAAGAAUAAGCACCGGCUAACUUCGUG